UGUGCCACUGUACAAAUACUUGUGUACCUAACUGUAAAUGCUUUGAAAUGAACAGUCAUGCAUGAAGUCGUCACUAGGUGUAACUAUCACACUGGGCAUUAGGUCUGUGAACAGGAGGGUGUAUCUAUCUAUAUGAUCAGCAUCAACCACUGCCAGCUGCUGCUGCAUUGUCAUGGCUUGUGGAAACGAAUCAAAGCAUGUCCUCAAUCCGGGGUGAAAAAGGGCAGAGAUGUUUGACCUUUUCUUUCGAUUUCUAAAGUAGGGCUCAUGGUUACCACAGGAAUCCUCAUCUAGCCCCACCUCCUUCAGAAGGAUCCCAGAGGACUCCAUGUGAUUGACGAGCAGCUUAUGAUGAAAAUCAAGAACUACUGCUGUUGCAGUUAUUUUUUAAUCUCAAAAGUUAACCUGCACAGGACCCCACACAGACAAUGGUGAUAACUGGAAACUGGAAGCAUUGCUAUCCAUUGUGACAGCAAGGACCUUCUUGCAGCAGAACCUACUGCCAUCACCAUGGCUAAAAGCAUAAUUAUAGGUGUCUGCUACCUUUUUAGCCUUAAGUAUGCAAAAGCCAUAAAGGGUACAUUACUGUUCUUCAGGCUUUAUUGGGCAUUCAGCAGGGUAGCAUCAACCUCCCUAUAGCUGUUCUGCAAUUGCUGAAUUACUUAAAAGAUCCCAUCUAAAGUGAGUGGUCAUGUUGGCAUAGGUUCUUUAGCCAACAGCAUCAUUGUCUUUUCCCUUUGAAUGCAUACUUGUUUUGUUGUUUUUGAGGUUCUCUUUUAAUGUAAAGAACUUAUUGCUUAACAUUUGAAUGAAAAGAUGCUAAAAAUAAUUUUAGACGUCAAAGUAACAAAGGCCCUGGAACAUUAAGAUAUAUGCCAACACAUGUUGAAAUUCUUGUAUUUUUUGUAGUAUUUUUCUUCUUAUUGAGGAUUUGUGGUUCCCAAACAUGGAUUUUUCUGAGUAUUCUGUUUAUGUUUGUUGAUAAAAUAAUUUAUCCAUAAAAUGUCAAAAUGUCUUCAGAUUACUUCCUGAUGAGCAGCUAAAAAAACCCAAAGGUUUCAUUUUAUAGCGAUAUAAAUCUGAGAAAAGCAUUUAAUUCCUAGCAUUUGUGAAUCUGUAACAAUCUAAUGUACUUUUACUUGAUAAAGAACUUAAAUUAAUAUUUCCCUAUCAAAAUGAUAUGUUGGAUUUCUUUGUUGGCUGUGAAAUGACUAAUCUGCUGGUGCCAGUUUUGAAAUUUUAAAGUAAUUUUAGUACUGCUUUUGCUAAUUCUUUUUUUGUUUAUGUAUUUAUUUAUUUGUUUAUUUA
Molecule: long non-coding RNA, 1308 nt
Organism: Xiphias gladius (swordfish)
Lineage: Eukaryota; Metazoa; Chordata; Actinopteri; Istiophoriformes; Xiphiidae
Exons: 4
Source: RefSeq, a predicted model, not a curated record